ACAAAUAGGUUAUUCAUUGAAGAUAGAAAGCUUAGUGGUAAAUCUAAAGAUUCUCUGGGAAAAAAGUAACUCUCAGGAAUCCUCUUUUUGGGCAGCCAACUUCACUAUUAACCCUUUCCUUUUUAAAUGACUCAAUGUGGUUUAGAUUCAUACAACCCUAGUACAAAUAUAUAUAUAUAUAAAGGAAAACCAUAGGAUUAAGUUACUAACAUAUAUAGAGAAGUGUUCUUGAUGGGCUGUGCUUGUAUGAAGCAGCGGCAGGAACGCAAAAGCGCAGUGAUUCUUGCUGCUCAAACUUGCUUUAAAGUGGCAGAUGUGGAAGCGUUGUAUGAGCUGUUCAGGAAAUUAAGCAGUUCUGUGGUUGAUGAUGGGCUUAUCAGCAAAGAUGAGUUUCGGCUUGGCUUAUUCAGGAACAGCAAGAAGCAGAGUCUUCUUGCAGAUAGGAUCUUCAAUCUGUUCGACUUGAAACAUGAUGGGAUGAUAGAGUUUGGAGAAUUCAUCCGGUCUUUGAGCAUUUUCCACCCAGAUGCUCCCCAAGAAGAAAAAAUUGCUUUUGCAUUUCAAUUAUACAAUACAGGACAGACAGGCUUCAUCGAACAUGAGGAGGUCAGGGAGAUGGUUUUCGCCUUCCUGAAUGAGUCAGACUUGAUCCUUUCUGAUGACCUUGUUGAAGCCAUUAUUGAUAAGACUUUCAGUGAAGUAGAUACAAAAGGAGAUGGAAAGAUUGAUCCAGAAGAGUGGAAUGAAUUCAUUUCUCGGAAUCCAUCCAUACUAAAGAACAUGACCAUCCCAUAUUUGAAGGAUAUUGGAACUUCAUUUCCCAGUUUUGUGCUGAGAUCAGACCCUGAAGAUUAACAACUUGGGAUAACACUUGAUUACACAAGAAUAAAGAGAUUUAUGUACCGUUAUUUUAUCUAUGACAAAGAUCAAUGAACUAAACCAUUGUAUUUCACAAUGUAAGUGAUCUAUCCAUGAGUAUUAUACAUUCUACUCUUGCUAAUAAAAAUUGCAGAGGUUCAAGUUAUCAGAUAGGAAAAUCUGAAGAUCAAAUACUUAAUGGGGCAAUAAGCAUUUGGCCCUUGCUGAGAAGCUUCUCCAUCGAUUCAUCUGGCCUUGACCACCAACAUGUCCUGCAAGUUUGAGGGAUAGCACAUCCCAGUGUGCAGGCUGGACCACACAUUGUCUGCCAGGAUGGCGUUCACUACAUCGGUUGGAUGGAACUGGUCCCACCAGAUAUGAUUUGAGGCGUUGCUGCAGGCCAUUUCUGGUGAAAGGCACAUGAUCCAGCCCCGGUACCUGCCUAGUCCACAGCAGGCAUCUGCAGUGAAAUUGAAACCUGGAGGUGGAGAUCAGAACUCAUGGCAUGAGACAAGGAUCCUACCCAAAAAAUGAAGAGUUGUUUCACAUAUUAAAGCCUACCAGUUCUGAUCCGCUCGAGAAAAUGAUUCCAGCACCAGCAGAGGCAUAAUUCACUCCAUGAAUCAUAUCUUCUACCAUUCCAGAUUGCCCCAGAUAACUUGGUACAAAAGGAAGACCAAGGCGUAAUGCUGAGAAAUGGAUUCAAAACAGAGAGUGUAAUGAGAAAAGGUUACACCAAAUUUAAUUUCAUCAGAACAAAAGGUGAAGAAUGUGUAUGCUCUAGGUGGGAAUCGAGGGUUUAGAAUUGGAAAAUCCCAAUUCCCAUUUCUCUGUUUGAUCGUGUAACUGUCGGUAACUUAGAAUGGAAUUCAAAUCCCAUGUACCCCAGAUUUCUAAGAAUUGGGAAUUCAAGCGAAA
RNA transcript from Vitis riparia (riverbank grape), 1776 nucleotides. It is a transcript of the gene named calcineurin B-like protein 7, with no coding region annotated. Lineage: Eukaryota; Viridiplantae; Streptophyta; Magnoliopsida; Vitales; Vitaceae. The record is from RefSeq and is a predicted model, not a curated record. The transcript has 9 exons.